RNAcentral lists this long non-coding RNA (775 nucleotides) under Homo sapiens (human). Its description in RNAcentral is "non-protein coding lnc-TMEM250-2:6". Lineage: Eukaryota; Metazoa; Chordata; Mammalia; Primates; Hominidae. The record is from RNAcentral.
CGACUAAUGGGGACAGCCGGAGCCAAGGGGCUCUCAGGGCAGCAGGAGGGCCAUGCAGGGCCACCAUCGUGUCAGCAGCACGUUGACCAUGGCUCACGACAUGGGGACGGGCAUUCUUGCCGCUUCCUCAGAAUAUUAACGACGGUCCCAGCAGAAUGCUGUAUGAAUAUUCAUAUGGAGCUCAAUCAAGCCUGGGCUGGCGGAUGGCACAGGGAGAGGCGCCGUGACAGGCUGGGCCCGGGUCCCAGUGGGCACACCUUGGCAGGGUGUGGCCGUAAGUCUCCGCCAGCUCCAGCCAGGAUCUGCCUCCCUCGGGAUGGGACAGGCCUGGGCCUGUUGUAUGGCCACAGGCAGAAGAGGCCGAUGAGUGACAUGACAUCACCACUUAGUGACUGCCCUCGUCCUGGGAGCCCAGAUGCUGGGGCGGGGCUCCUUCCUGAAAGACCCAGAGAAGUUCAUCUCAGGUUUAAUGGGGGCACUGCUGCCUCAGAAGCCAGGCAGUGGGUGGUGAGGUCCCUGUCCUCACUGGGGUCUGCAGCCGAGGAGGACUGGCCACCGAGGCCCAGGCCAGGCACAGGGAUGCUGGGUGGCCAUGGCCAGUCCUCCCGGGAGCCCCUAGCACCUUGGGCCUGCCCCCAGCUCUCACGCCGGGAGAGGUUUUUUCCCACUCCGGUGGCCGACGCCCUGGUGAAGGGAUUCGCAGAACGGGAGCACAUGGAUUUCCAGUUCUUCCCAGCGGGCGCACGUAGGCCGGCACCCUCUCUCUCGUCUUUGG